This 292-nucleotide ribosomal RNA is filed under the name uncultured Verrucomicrobiota bacterium. Its description in RNAcentral is "uncultured Verrucomicrobia bacterium partial 16S ribosomal RNA". The record is from RNAcentral. Lineage: Bacteria; Pseudomonadati; Verrucomicrobiota.
GGACUACUAGGGUUUCUAAUCCCGUUUGCUCCCCUGGCCUUCGUACUUCAGCGUCAGGAACUGUCUAGAGACCCGCCUUCGCCACUGGUCUUCCUUACGAUAUCUACGCAUUUCACUGCUACACCGUAAAUUCCAGUCUCCUCUCCAGUCCUCAAGCACGGCAGUAUCGAAUGCAGUUUCGGAGUUAAGCCCCGAGAUUUCACACCCGACUUACCGCGCCGCCUACGCACCCUUUACGCCCAAUGAAUCCGAACAACGCUUGAGACCUCUGUAUUACCGCGGCGGCUGGCAC